RNAcentral lists this ribosomal RNA (993 nucleotides) under uncultured bacterium. RNAcentral describes it as "bacterial SSU rRNA". It matches the Rfam family "Bacterial small subunit ribosomal RNA", at positions 28 to 1017 of the family's 1533-position model. The record is from RNAcentral.
AUUGAACGCUGGCGGUAGGCUUAACACAUGCAGGUCGUGCGAGAAAGUAUCUUCGGAUAUGAUUAGAGCGGCGGACGGGUGAGUAACGCGUAGGAAUCUACCUAGUAGAAGGGGAUAGCCCGAGGAAACUCGGAUUAAUACCGUAUACCUCCUUCGGGAGAAAGAAGGCCUCUCUUUGAAGCUUUCGCUACUAGAUGAGCCUGCGUAAGAUUAGCUUGUUGGUGAGGUAAAGGCUCACCAAGGCGACGAUCUUUAGCGGGUCUGAGAGGACGAUCCGCCACAUUGGGACUGAGACACGGCCCAGACUCCUACGGGAGGCAGCAGUGGGGAAUAUUGGACAAUGGGCGCAAGCCUGAUCCAGCCAUACCGCGUGUGUGAAGAAGGCCUUAGGGUUGUAAAGCACUUUAAGUUGGGAAGAAAGGUUAUUGGCUAAUACCCAAUAACUGUGACAUUACCAUCAGAAUAAGGACCGGCUAAUUCCGUGCCAGCAGCCGCGGUAAUACGGAAGGUCCAAGCGUUAAUCGGAAUUACUGGGCGUAAAGCGCGCGUAGGUGGUUUAUUAAGUUGGAUGUGAAAUCCCCGGGCUCAACCUGGGAACUGCAUUCAAAACUGGUUCACUAGAGUACGAUAGAGGGAGGUAGAAUUCACAGUGUAGCGGUGGAAUGCGUAGAUAUUGUGAAGAAUACCAAUGGCGAAGGCAGCCUCCUGGAUCUGUACUGACACUGAGGUGCGAAAGCGUGGGUAGCGAACAGGAUUAGAUACCCUGGUAGUCCACGCCGUAAACGAUGUCAACUAGCUGUUGGAAAGCACUGCUUUUCAGUGGCGCAGCUAACGUAGUAAGUUGACCGCCUGGGGAGUACGGCCGCAAGGUUAAAACUCAAAUGAAUUGACGGGGACCCGCACAAGCGGUGGAGCAUGUGGUUUAAUUCGAUGCAACGCGAAAAACCUUACCUAUGCUUGACAUACUUGGAAUACUUUGUAAUGAAGUAGUGC